Molecule: ribosomal RNA, 524 nt
Filed under: Mesobacillus campisalis
Lineage: Bacteria; Bacillati; Bacillota; Bacilli; Caryophanales; Bacillaceae
Description: bacterial LSU rRNA
Rfam family: Bacterial large subunit ribosomal RNA
Source: RNAcentral
GUCGGGCUUAGUGAUCCGGUGGUUCCGCAUGGAAGGGCCAUCGCUCAACGGAUAAAAGCUACCCCGGGGAUAACAGGCUUAUCUCCCCCAAGAGUCCACAUCGACGGGGAGGUUUGGCACCUCGAUGUCGGCUCAUCGCAUCCUGGGGCUGUAGUCGGUCCCAAGGGUUGGGCUGUUCGCCCAUUAAAGCGGUACGCGAGCUGGGUUCAGAACGUCGUGAGACAGUUCGGUCCCUAUCCGUCGUGGGCGCAGGAAAUUUGAGAGGAGCUGUCCUUAGUACGAGAGGACCGGGAUGGACGCACCGCUGGUGUACCAGUUGUCUUGCCAAAGGCAUCGCUGGGUAGCUAUGUGCGGACGGGAUAAGUGCUGAAAGCAUCUAAGCAUGAAGCCCCCCUCAAGAUGAGAUUUCCCAUAGCGUCAAGCUAGUAAGAUCCCUGAGAGAUGAUCAGGUUGAUAGGUCAGAGGUGGAAGCACGGUGACGUGUGGAGCUGACUGAUACUAAUCGAUCGAGGACUUAACCAAAC